CCUGGCUCAGGAUGAACGCUAGCGGCAGGCCUAAUACAUGCAAGUCGAACGGUUGUAGCAAUACAAUAGUGGCGCACGGGUGCGUAACGCGUAGCCAACCUACCCGAAUCUGGGGGAUAGCCCGCCGAAAGGCGGAUUAAUACCGCAUAAAACCACAGGGUGGCAUCACCUAAUGGUUAAAGAUUUAUUGGAUUCGGAUGGGGCUGCGUGCCAUUAGCUAGUUGGGGAGGUAACGGCUCACCAAGGCGACGAUGGCUAGGGGAGCUGAGAGGCUGGUCCCCCACACGGGCACUGAGAUACGGGCCCGACUCCUACGGGAGGCAGCAGUAGGGAAUAUUGGGCAAUGGGCGAGAGCCUGACCCAGCCAUGCCGCGUGCAGGACGAAGGCUUUCUGAGUCGUAAACUGCUUUUACCAGGGAAGAAAAAAGGGGAUGCGUCCUCUACUGAC
RNAcentral lists this ribosomal RNA (448 nucleotides) under Hymenobacter sp. R-43240. Its description in RNAcentral is "bacterial SSU rRNA". It matches the Rfam family "Bacterial small subunit ribosomal RNA", at positions 18 to 473 of the family's 1533-position model. Lineage: Bacteria; Pseudomonadati; Bacteroidota; Cytophagia; Cytophagales; Hymenobacteraceae. The record is from RNAcentral.